RNAcentral lists this transfer RNA (75 nucleotides) under Pseudomonadota bacterium. RNAcentral describes it as "tRNA-Arg". It matches the Rfam family "tRNA". From Rfam's summary of the family: Transfer RNA (tRNA) molecules are approximately 80 nucleotides in length. Their secondary structure includes four short double-helical elements and three loops (D, anti-codon, and T loops). The record is from RNAcentral. Lineage: Bacteria; Pseudomonadati; Pseudomonadota. RNAcentral also lists the same sequence under 1 other name.
GCCCCAGUAGCUCAGGGGAUAGAGCGCGGGCCUCCGGAGCCCGGUGCACAGGUUCGAUUCCUGUCUGGGGCGCCA